CGACACUAACAAUCCUUCGGGUGCGUUAAUGGGCGUCGAGCGGCGGACGGGUGAGUAAUGCCUAGGAAAUUGCCUUGAUGUGGGGGAUAACCAUUGGAAACGAUGGCUAAUACCGCAUAAUGCCUACGGGCCAAAGAGGGGGACCUUCGGGCCUCUCGCGUCAAGAUAUGCCUAGGUGGGAUUAGCUAGUUGGUGAGGUAAUGGCUCACCAAGGCGACGAUCCCUAGCUGGUCUGAGAGGAUGAUCAGCCACACUGGAACUGAGACACGGUCCAGACUCCUACGGGAGGCAGCAGUGGGGAAUAUUGCACAAUGGGCGAAAGCCUGAUGCAGCCAUGCCGCGUGUAUGAAGAAGGCCUUCGGGUUGUAAAGUACUUUCAGUUGUGAGGAAGGGGGURNNGUUAAUAGCKNYAUCUCUUGACGUUAGCAACAGAAGAAGCACCGGCUAACUCCGUGCCAGCAGCCGCGGUAAUACGGAGGGUGCGAGCGUUAAUCGGAAUUACUGGGCGUAAAGCGCAUGCAGGUGGUUCAUUAAGUCAGAUGUGAAAGCCCGGGGCUCAACCUCGGAACUGCAUUUGAAACUGGUGAACUAGAGUACUGUAGAGGGGGGUAGAAUUUCAGGUGUAGCGGUGAAAUGCGUAGAGAUCUGAAGGAAUACCAGUGGCGAAGGCGGC
This 673-nucleotide ribosomal RNA is filed under the name Vibrio sp. RNAcentral's name for it is "bacterial SSU rRNA". Lineage: Bacteria; Pseudomonadati; Pseudomonadota; Gammaproteobacteria; Vibrionales; Vibrionaceae. The record is from RNAcentral.